This 392-nucleotide ribosomal RNA is filed under the name uncultured bacterium. Its description in RNAcentral is "partial 16S ribosomal RNA". It matches the Rfam family "Bacterial small subunit ribosomal RNA", at positions 523 to 918 of the family's 1533-position model. The record is from RNAcentral.
AUACGGAGGAUCCGAGCGUUAUCCGGAUUUAUUGGGUUUAAAGGGUGCGCAGGCGGCCAUUUAAGUCAGCGGUUAAAUCGUGGGGCUCAACCCCAUUCUGCCGUUGAUACUGGGUGGCUUGAUUGCGGUCGAGGUUGGCGGAAUUCGUUGUGUAGCGGUGAAAUGCAUAGAUAUGAAGAAGAACACCGAGUGCGUAGGCAGCUGGCCAGACCGCAAAUGACGCUCAUGCACGAAAGUGCGGGGAUCGAACAGGAUUAGAUACGCUGGUAGUCCGCACAGUAAACGAUGAAUACUUGUUUUCGGCGAUAUAAUGUCGGAGGCAAAGCGAAAGCGAUAAGUAGUCCGCCUGGGGAGUACGACCGCAAGGUUGAAACUCAAAGGAAUUGGCGGGG